Triticum dicoccoides is the source of this 459-nucleotide long non-coding RNA. RefSeq lists it as uncharacterized. The transcript is spliced from 3 exons. Lineage: Eukaryota; Viridiplantae; Streptophyta; Magnoliopsida; Poales; Poaceae. The record is from RefSeq and is a predicted model, not a curated record.
AUCUAUGAUGGAAUACUAUAAUUAUUACUUCCAUUAUAGACGGGGGGAGCCAAAUCCUUAUACCUGUUGCGGUCGUUUGAGCCAGCAGAUAGGGUGGAUCAACUGGUGAGAAUUUGGGGAUUCAGUUUAUAUUACAUUCGAGUUUUACGGGUGGCCCUCGGUACAUGGUGCUUAAUUACCAUGAUGGUAUGGCUAUUUGUCGCGAAUAUGGUGCUCCCGAUCUUUUUGUCACUUUUACAUGCAAUCCAAAGUGGCAAGAAGUUGUUGAUGCUCUCGCAUAUGAAGGUGGUCAGACUCACGUUGAUCGUCCUGACAUUGUUACGCGUGUUUUCAAUAUAAAAUUUGAAGAAUUUUUAGAAGAUGUAAAGGAUGGAUCAGCAUUUGGAGCUAUUCAAGCUUAUUUGUAUGUGGUGGAAUUUCAAAAGAGAGGGCUUCCUCAUACUCAUACUCUUAUCUGGC